This is a long non-coding RNA of Octopus bimaculoides (California two-spot octopus), 266 nucleotides long. RefSeq lists it as uncharacterized. The record is from RefSeq and is a predicted model, not a curated record. Lineage: Eukaryota; Metazoa; Mollusca; Cephalopoda; Octopoda; Octopodidae.
UGAAGGCUGUGCCAGUCACCGAACGCGUCGCCGCUGUAUGGUAUAGGCAGACCCCGAGCACAGUGCUGUGACAGCUUAGGGUCGGAGACUCACAACAUUUUGGAAAGACUCGGAGUUCUGCAGGCUAUCGGUCGAUUCAAAAGCAGGGAGAAUGACAAGAACCCAAGAUGUCACUCAGCAGGAUAAAAUCGAGGAGCAUAUCAUAUGGUUGAGAAGCGAAGUUAACCAUUGAGCUGAACGUAAUACGAAUAAAUAUGUAAAUCAUU